AAGUGCUGGGAUUACAGGCAUAAGCCACUGCGCCCGGCCCCCCCACUUGCUUCUUUAAAGGCCUUCAGUGAACCAAGAUCACCACUGCACUCCAGCCUGGUGACAGAGCGAGACUCUGUCUCAAAAAAAAAAUAAGGCCUUUGAAGAGCUAUUCUAAGCCUGGGGCCUUUUAUAUUCCCAUUCUCUUCAAGAAAAAGACUCUGAGGGAGGAGAUUAGAAGCAGAGAGUCCCAAAGAUGGUGAAGAAUCACAUAAUGAGGCGCUGAAGUAUCAGAAGACAGAAAAGGAAUAGGCAAAAAUAAACUCCAGGGCAAUUAAAUAUCUAAAGUUGUAAAAACAAAACAAAACAAAACACCAACCAACUUCAAAAUUAUCUGGUGCUCACUUUGGCAGCACAUAUGCUACAACUGGAAUGAUACAGAGAUUAGCAUGGACCCUGUGCAAGGAUGACACGCAAAUUCAUGAAGCAUUCCAUAUAUAUUUUUUAAAAUUUAUUUUUAAAGGCUGAGCACAGUGGUUCACACCUGUAAUCCCAGCACUUUGGGAGGCUGAGGCAGGCAGAUCACUUGAGUCCAGGAGUGUGAGACCAGCCUGAGCAACAUGGUGAAACCCCGUCUCUACAAAAAAUACAAAAAUUAGCCAGGCAUGGUGGUGCAUGCCUGUAGUCCCAGCUACCUGGGAGGCUGAGGCAGGAGGGCCGUUUGAGCCCAGGAUGUGGAGGUUGCAGUGGGUUGAGAUUGCACCAUUGCAGUCCAGCUUAGGUGACAGAGUGAGACCUUGUCUCAAAAACAACAACAAAAUUAUUUGAAAAAAUAUAUAGUAUUUUUAUAAUCAAGAUAAAAUUUUAACAAUAAAAUUAUGAAAAAGCAGAAGUAAAAAUGGACCAUUCUGAUUCAAUUGACUAUUAAAAAUAUUUAAAACUCCCAUCUAAAAAACUUUUUUUUCUUUUCUUUUUUUUUUUUUUUUUUGACACAAAUUCUCACCCUGUCGCCCAGGCUGGAGUGCAGUGGUCCAAUCACAGCUCACUGCAGCCUUGACCUCCUGGGCUCAGGUGAUCCUCCCACCUCAGCCUCCCAAGUAGCUGGGACUACAGGCACAUGCCACGACGCCUGGCUAAUUUUUUCCAAAUUAAACUGACAAUGAUAUUUGUUUCACAUCUACAGGACCAUCAAUAAUCUAAAAUUCUGACCAUUUCAAGUGUCAGUGAGGAUAUGGAAAAACUAGGACUCUGAUAUCCUGUAAAACUGAUACACCCACUUUGGAGAGCAACUUGAUAAUAUCUACUCAAGUUGAAAAUGCACUUAUUCUUUGAUCUAGAGAGUCUACUUCCAGAUAAAUGCCUUACAGCAUUGUUUUUCAAUCCAUUAGUGAGUCAUAAAAUCAAUGUAGUGAGUCAUGUCCAGCAUUUUACAAAAAUGAAAUAGGACAGAAUGCAAUAGAGUAGGAAACAGAGUGCAUAUAGCAAGGGCAGGUAUUAUUUUGUUAAAUUUUUAUUUCAUCUAUGAACUGGGUCUCAAUAUAAAACAUAUUUCCAUAGUGGUUUCAAAAAAAAAAACCUCUAAAAACAUUCCUUCAUAGAAACUCUCAUCCAUUAGCACUAGGAGACCUGUUGGAGGAUAUUCCCUGAAAUGUAGUGUUUGUAAUAAUGAAACACUAAAAACAAUGUAAAUGUCAAUCAGUAGCAAAUGGAUAAGCAAAUUGGGGUGUAUUCAUGUGAUGGAACACCAUUCAGCAAGCUAAAUGAAUGAACUUGCUGGGCCAGUGGCUCACACAUGUAAUCCCAGCACUUUGGGAGGCUGAGGUGGGUGGAUCACCUGAGGUCAGGAGUUUGAGACCAGCCAGGUCAACAUGGCAA
This 1854-nucleotide long non-coding RNA is filed under the name Homo sapiens (human). Lineage: Eukaryota; Metazoa; Chordata; Mammalia; Primates; Hominidae. The record is from RNAcentral.